CUUGGUCAUUUAGAGGAAGUAAAAGUCGUAACAAGGUUUCCGUAGGUGAACCUGCGGAAGGAUCAUUACCAAUAUAGCGAACCGAGCGUUAGCGAGGCUUCGCGAUCAAAUUUGUAUUUAAAACCCAACUCUUUAAAUGUAUACAUUAUUAUUGUAUUUUAAAUAAUAAAGAUCACUUUCAACAACGGAUCUCUUGGCUCUCGCAUCGAUGAAGAACGUAGCGAAGUGCGAUAAGUAAUGUGAAUUGCAGAAUUCCGUGAAUCAUCGAAUUUUUGAACGCAAAUUGCACUCUCUGGUAUUCCGGAGAGUAUGCCUGUUUGAGGGUCAGUAAAAUAAAAAUCGAUGUUGUUGUCAAUGAUAACGCGUCGGAACUGAGUCGUCUUACCUUCGGUUAAGUGACUUAAAAUUUUUACGCGAAUUCGAAACGUAUUUAAUGUUUAUGUACGUUUGCGAUAUUCCAAUAUUAUUAGGUGCGGUCAUUCCCAUGAUUCGCGUCUAUAAUUUUUCAUUUCUUGACCUCAAAUCAGGUAAGAGUACCCGCUGAACUUAAGCAUAUCAAUAAGCGGAGGA
This 570-nucleotide ribosomal RNA is filed under the name uncultured Glomeromycotina. RNAcentral's name for it is "eukaryotic LSU rRNA". The stretch from base 174 to 327 matches the Rfam family "5.8S ribosomal RNA". The record is from RNAcentral. Lineage: Eukaryota; Fungi; Glomeromycota.